UACGAAGGGUGCAAGCGUUGCUCGGAAUUAUUGGGCGUAAAGGGUUGGUAGGUGGUCUUGUUUGUCUAAGGUGAAAUCCCAUGGCUUAACUGUGGAAGUGCCUUAGAAACGGCAAGACUAGAGUCCUAGAGGGGUUUGUGGAAUUCCCGGUGUAGCGGUGAAAUGCGCAGAUAUCAGGAGGAACACCGAUGGCGAAGGCAGGUCUCUGGGCCGAUACUGACGCUGAGGAGCGAAAGCGUGGGGAGCGAACAGG
This 253-nucleotide ribosomal RNA is filed under the name uncultured bacterium. RNAcentral's name for it is "partial 16S ribosomal RNA". It matches the Rfam family "Bacterial small subunit ribosomal RNA", at positions 524 to 776 of the family's 1533-position model. The record is from RNAcentral.